AUUGAACGCUGGCGGAAUGCUUUACACAUGCAAGUCGAACGGCAGCACGGGGCAACCUGGUGGCGAGUGGCGAACGGGUGAGUAAUACAUCGGAACGUGCCCAAUCGGUGGGGGAUAACGUAGCGAAAGUUACGCUAAUACCGCAUACGAUCUACGGAUGAAAGCGGGGGAUCGCAAGACCUCGCGCGAAUGGAGCGGCCGAUGUCAGAUUAGGUAGUUGGUGGGGUAAAGGCUCACCAAGCCAACGAUCUGUAGCUGGUCUGAGAGGACGACCAGCCACACUGGAACUGAGACACGGUCCAGACUCCUACGGGAGGCAGCAGUGGGGAAUUUUGGACAAUGGGCGCAAGCCUGAUCCAGCCAUUCCGCGUGCAGGAUGAAGGCCUUCGGGUUGUAAACUGCUUUUGUACGGAACGAAAAGGUCCUGGUUAAUACCUGGGGCUCAUGACGGUACCGUAAGAAUAAGCACCGGCUAACUACGUG
RNAcentral lists this ribosomal RNA (483 nucleotides) under uncultured bacterium. RNAcentral's name for it is "bacterial SSU rRNA". It matches the Rfam family "Bacterial small subunit ribosomal RNA", at positions 30 to 507 of the family's 1533-position model. The record is from RNAcentral.